RNAcentral lists this ribosomal RNA (440 nucleotides) under uncultured bacterium. RNAcentral's name for it is "partial 16S ribosomal RNA". It matches the Rfam family "Bacterial small subunit ribosomal RNA", at positions 338 to 795 of the family's 1533-position model. The record is from RNAcentral.
CCUACGGGAGGCAGCAGUAGGGAAUAUUGCUCAAUGGGGGAAACCCUGAAGCAGCAACGCCGCGUGGAGGAUGAAGGUUUUCGGCUUGUAAACUCCUAUUGUCAGAGAAGAUAAUGACGGUAUCUAACGAAUAAGCACCGGCUAACUCCGUGCCAGCAGCCGCGGUAAUACGGAGGGUGCAAGCGUUACUCGGAAUCACUGGGCGUAAAGAGCGCGUAGGCGGGAUAGCAAGUCAGAUGUGAAAGCCUCUGGCUUAACCAGAGAACUGCAUUUGAAACUGUAAUUCUAGAGUAUGGGAGGGGUAGGUGGAAUUCUUGGUGUAGGGGUAAAAUCCGUAGAGAUCAAGAGGAAUACUCAUUGCGAAGGCGACCUGCUAGAACGUAACUGACGCUGAUGCGCGAAAGCGUGGGGAGCAAACAGGAUUAGAUACCCGGGUAGUC